GAUUCUCAGUCUCUCUCCGGCCAGCUCUCUAGCUCUCCAGCUCGCAGGCUUCAAGCUCGGUGAUUCUUCAACCUCGAAGCUUGGUGAUUCUUCAUUCUUCACGCUCGAUUUCUGGGUUCAAGUGGUGAUUCUUCAAGCUCGAUUUUUGGGUUUUGGAUUCGGUGUUUCUGCAAGCUCUGUGAGUCUUGUUAUGAUAAUCUCAUAUUGA
This 208-nucleotide long non-coding RNA is filed under the name Rosa chinensis. RNAcentral's name for it is "sRNA RchiOBHm_Chr5g0017571". The record is from RNAcentral. Lineage: Eukaryota; Viridiplantae; Streptophyta; Magnoliopsida; Rosales; Rosaceae.